RNAcentral lists this ribosomal RNA (491 nucleotides) under uncultured bacterium. RNAcentral's name for it is "partial 16S ribosomal RNA". It matches the Rfam family "Bacterial small subunit ribosomal RNA", at positions 28 to 507 of the family's 1533-position model. The record is from RNAcentral.
GAUGAACGCUAGCUACAGGCUUAACACAUGCAAGUCGCGGGGCAGCAUGGGGGUUGCUUGCAACCCCUGAUGGCGACCGGCGCACGGGUGAGUAACGCGUAUCCAACCUGCCCUUCACCACGGGAUAACCCGGCGAAAGUCGGACUAAUACCGUACGUUUUCCAUUGACGGCAUCCGAUUUGGACGAAGGGCUUGGCGGUGAAAGGGUGGAGAUUCGGGCUAUUAGCUUGACGGUGGGGUAACGGCCCACCGUGGCGACGAUCGGUAGGGGUUCUGAGAGGAAGGUCCCCCACACUGGAACUGAGACACGGUCCAGACUCCUACGGGAGGCAGCAGUGAGGAAUAUUGGUCAAUGGGCGUAAGCCUGAACCAGCCAAGUAGCGUGCAGGAUGACGGCCCUAUGGGUUGUAAACUGCUUUUAUGCGGGGAUAAAGUGGCCCACGUGUGGGCUUUUGCAGGUACCGCAUGAAUAAGGACCGGCUAAUUCCGUG